RNAcentral lists this transfer RNA (79 nucleotides) under Storeatula sp. CCMP1868. Its description in RNAcentral is "tRNA-Leu". It matches the Rfam family "tRNA". Rfam says of the family: Transfer RNA (tRNA) molecules are approximately 80 nucleotides in length. Their secondary structure includes four short double-helical elements and three loops (D, anti-codon, and T loops). Further hydrogen bonds mediate the characteristic L-shaped molecular structure. tRNAs have two regions of fundamental functional importance: the anti-codon, which is responsible for specific mRNA codon recognition, and the 3' end, to which the tRNAs corresponding amino acid is attached (by aminoacyl-tRNA synthetases). tRNAs cope with the degeneracy of the genetic code in two manners: having more than one tRNA (with a specific anti-codon) for a particular amino acid; and 'wobble' base-pairing, i.e. permitting non-standard base-pairing at the 3rd anti-codon position. The record is from RNAcentral. Lineage: Eukaryota; Cryptophyceae; Pyrenomonadales; Pyrenomonadaceae.
GGAUAUGGUGAAAAUUGGUAAACACACUAAUUUUAGAAAUUAGGAAAUUUAAGUUUUUAGUGGUUCAAGUCCACUUAUC